GGGCCCUUAGCUCAGUUGGCUAGAGCGCAUCAUUUGCAAUGAUGAGGUCAAGGGUUCGAGACCCUUAGGGUCCA
This 74-nucleotide transfer RNA is filed under the name Patescibacteria group bacterium. Its description in RNAcentral is "tRNA-Ala". It matches the Rfam family "tRNA". Rfam says of the family: Transfer RNA (tRNA) molecules are approximately 80 nucleotides in length. Their secondary structure includes four short double-helical elements and three loops (D, anti-codon, and T loops). Further hydrogen bonds mediate the characteristic L-shaped molecular structure. tRNAs have two regions of fundamental functional importance: the anti-codon, which is responsible for specific mRNA codon recognition, and the 3' end, to which the tRNAs corresponding amino acid is attached (by aminoacyl-tRNA synthetases). tRNAs cope with the degeneracy of the genetic code in two manners: having more than one tRNA (with a specific anti-codon) for a particular amino acid; and 'wobble' base-pairing, i.e. permitting non-standard base-pairing at the 3rd anti-codon position. The record is from RNAcentral.